Lipotes vexillifer (Yangtze River dolphin) is the source of this 570-nucleotide RNA transcript. It is a transcript of the gene named ATP synthase subunit g, mitochondrial pseudogene, with no coding region annotated. The transcript is spliced from 2 exons. The record is from RefSeq and is a predicted model, not a curated record. NCBI's taxonomy places the organism in Eukaryota, Metazoa, Chordata, Mammalia, Artiodactyla, Lipotidae.
AUGGGGGCGGGGCCGUCCGGCUGUGACACCGUGCUGGCCGGUUCCCUGAGGGACACGGGGCUGCCCGGGCCCCGACAGCAGGCUGAGGCGCCUGCGAGGUCUGAGGGCUGCUCUGAGGAUGUGCGAAGACCCGAAGGGGAGGAGCUCUACGUAACCACAGCCCAGUUUGUCCGUAACCUUGCGGAGAAGGCCCCAGUGCGGGUCAACACUGCUGUGACUUACUUGAAGCCUCAACUGGCCAUACUUUGGCACUAUGCCAAGGUUGAGCUGGUCCCUCCAACCAGCUCAAGAUCCCUACAGCUAUUCAGAGCUUGAAAAAAAUUGUCAGUGGUGCUCAAACCGGUAGUUUCAAACAGCUCACAGUUAAGGAAGCUCUGCUGAAUGGUGUGGUGGCCACUGAGGUGUGGACGUGGUUUCGUGCUGGCGAGAUCACAGGCAUGCGUGGCAUCACUGGCUAUGAUGUUUGAAGACCAAUCUUUCACAUGUGAUUAUAUUUGCUUUAUUAUUUCGGUGUUCUUGGACCAUGUAUGAGCAGACUGGUUUUUGAAUAAAAUAAGGCAAUGUGUCAAA